RNAcentral lists this ribosomal RNA (401 nucleotides) under uncultured bacterium. RNAcentral describes it as "partial 16S ribosomal RNA". It matches the Rfam family "Bacterial small subunit ribosomal RNA", at positions 359 to 774 of the family's 1533-position model. The record is from RNAcentral.
GAAUAUUGGGCAAUGGGCGAAAGCCUGACCCAGCAACGCCGCGUGAGGGAAGAAGGUCUUCGGAUUGUAAACCUCUGCCCUUGGGGACGAACACAAUGACGGUACCCAAGGAGGAAGCCCCGGCUAACUACGGGCCAGCCGCCGCGGUACUACGUAGGGAGCGAGCGUUGUCCGGAAUUACAUGGCGUAAAGGGUGCGUAGGCGGCAUGGCAAGUCAGAUGUGAAAUCCCCGGGCUUAACUCGGGUGCGGCAUUUGAAACUGCCGUGCUUGAGUGCAGGAGAGGAAAGCGGAAUUCCUAGUGUAGCGGUGAAAUGCGUAGAUAUUAGGAGGAACACCAGUGGCGAAGGCGGCUUUCUGGACUGUAACUGACGCUGAGGCACGAAAGCGUGGGGAGCAAACA